This 503-nucleotide ribosomal RNA is filed under the name Penaeus kerathurus. RNAcentral's name for it is "partial 12S ribosomal RNA". The stretch from base 134 to 503 matches the Rfam family "Microsporidia small subunit ribosomal RNA", at positions 752 to 1218 of the family's 1311-position model. Lineage: Eukaryota; Metazoa; Arthropoda; Malacostraca; Decapoda; Penaeidae. The record is from RNAcentral.
GUGCUGAUAAAAGGUGAAAUUAAUUUUUUAGCAUGCGGAGCUGUAAAUAAAAAGUUUGAAUUGAAGCUAUUAAGGUAAAGAGAUGAACCAGGAUUAGAUACCCUGUUACACUUUAUUUAAAUGAUAAUUACCUGGGUACUAAGCAGUUAUUACCUUGAAACUCAAAGGAUUUGGCGGUAACUUAGUCUAUUUAGAGGAACCUGUCCUAUAAUCGAUAGUCCACGAAAUAUCUUACUCUAUUUUGUAGAAACCAGUUUGUAUACCGUCAUUAUUAGAUAACUUUUAAAAAACAUGGAGUUAUUGCAAUAGUUUAGCUAAUAAAUUAGAUCAAGGUGCAGCUUAUAGUAGAGAAGAGAUGGGUUACAAUAAAAUACGUGUAUACGGAGCAAUGAAUGAAUACUUUGUUGUGAAGGUGGAUUUAAGAGUAAGAGAAUUUUAAUAAGAUUUUCUGACUUUAGCUCUAGGUUAUGUACACAUCGCCCGUCGCUCUCGUUAAUUAAAGC